GACUCUCUGCCUCCACCGCCCACGGCUCGACCGUCGAGGCACCGCUUCACCGCCGUACCUCCCUAUAAAAUGGCUCCCGCCUCUCAAGCUUGCUCCAGCGCCCAUGCCCAUCACGCAGCGCCCACACGCACCAGCAUGCCACGGCGGCUUGGUUCCCAUCCGACCGUGAAGCAGAGCUGCGCGGUGAUGGCGACGCCCAGCGCAGGACGCCGCGACAACAGGCAGGAGGCCAUGAAGGGGCUCACGUAGCGAUGGCGGUGCGCGGCUAGGAGGACCAGACCUCGCGCUGCGACGGCGGCAGGUGCGUGCUAGCUGUGGCCCUGAGAGGGGACUUGCGGCGUGACUGUGGCAUGCGGCAGCGGGGAUCUCCCCAGCCUCUCCUACCCCUCUUCUGAUGUGGGGAACAUGGAUUACCGGUUUUCUGCUGAAUCUUUAGUUGUGUGGAAACAGCGCUCGGAAUGGACGCGACGGUCCCUCAAAAAAAAAAAAAAGGAAUGGACGCGACGGUGCGGUCACCGGCGCCCUGCGUCCUCCACCGGUGUCUCAUGCCCCUGCCCACUUCCUUCCGCCGUCCACACUGCCUCCGUCUCAGCCAGUGGAUGUUCAUAUGCCGGAUAACAAGUGCGGCGGCGACCAUGGUCUGUCCCGCUCCGCCAGUCCUUUCUUCCGGUGGCUUACUUACUACUCACGCAGGUGGAGUUCAACAUGGAGGAGCUUGCCAUGUCCCAAGCAUCAUUUUGGGCGUAGCUGCCCACCUCUGUGUGACGACUGCUCCAAUGCAGACCAGGUGUUCGGCGUAAUGUCAGAACGGCCACAGUGAUGAGGAUACAUCAGUUCGUGAUGAGCUUAGAGGUCGGUGUAGUGCCAGAAGACGGCGACCAGUGGCGGGCGCUCGCGCACUGCUUCUGGGAUGACACAGCCAAGACCAACAAGGAUGACGAUCAUGUUCCUAUUUCCAGUGGGUUCGUUCAAGUGGUAUGGACGCGGCCAGGCAAUUUAUGAAGUUUGCUGGAGCAGCCGUUGCGUACUAUCCCAUACUCUCUGUCGAUAGACACCUUCUCCCACGCCGACGCCGGUCGCCGGGAUACCGUCCCAUCCAUCACCAUGCAAGAGCGCUCUAAUCCUCUAGACAGUACUGCUCACAGCAGUUGCAGAUGCGGAUGCAUUGCCCACAGCCGCGGAUGCCGCUGUCCCGUACCGAGGACGUGCAGUCAUGUUUUAGAUUAUGAUUGUGCAAAGGAAUAUGUCAGAAAAUGACGGCCCGCAAUUUUGUACCAAAAUACUGAACAUCUUCUGAUUUUACUGGAAGAUUGAUGUGGACAUUGAUGUUAUUGCAAUGAAAGCUGAUUUUUUUUCAUUCACAUUUUUGAAGACUCGAGUUUCAGCAGCACCGCACCAUUAAUUAGCUUUCUGCAAGUGACUUGUGAUUUCAGCUGAUGAAGCCGUCAACCAUUGGGGGCACGGAAUUGUCGAGCUCAAGGUUCGUCACCCUUGUUUCUAAAGGGAAGGUAAAGUUGGGGAUGCCAAUCUCUGAGGAUUUUCUCAAUGGUUAUCUUCAAGCCAUAGAAGCACCGUCGAGCCCUGGAGCUGUUGCGACAAUGCCGUCCCAGACACCGGCGUCCUCUUCCAUGCCCCGGCCAUCCAGGAGGAGUGCCACGACUAUCACAGUUCUCAACACGGCGUCCUCCGGGAUGUUGAUCAAGUCCUUGCACCGGCGGCAUCCGGAGCCUGAGAGGGACGCCCAGAGAGACAUGGCCUUCGAUUGGAGCAUUGCAGGCAUCGAUCCUCUUUGUGGUAGCCAUGGGUAGAGCUCAGCCCCGUGAGCUGCAGUUCACCAGUUAAUUCCUCACCUGUAAGCCGAGGAAGAAGGAAAAUGGUUUGUGCUAUAUAUACGACUGAACUGGACAAUCACAUAAAAGGUAGAUAUUUGCACAUCUAAUUUAUUUUGUGUAGUCUGGGUACUCUUCCCCAUAGUGCUUGCUUUGAUUUUUGUUGUUCAGUUAAAUCAUUCACAUGAGUACCUCAAUUUAAUUAACAGUGUAAGUUGAUUGUGAGGCUGUGUAUUUUUUGUUGGAGAAGAAAGUACCAUGACAUGUAACUCAUUUGCACUUAGUGAAUUUCAG
Triticum aestivum (bread wheat) is the source of this 2123-nucleotide long non-coding RNA. RefSeq lists it as uncharacterized. The record is from RefSeq and is a predicted model, not a curated record. The transcript has 3 exons. Lineage: Eukaryota; Viridiplantae; Streptophyta; Magnoliopsida; Poales; Poaceae.